RNAcentral lists this ribosomal RNA (459 nucleotides) under Pseudomonas sp. RNAcentral's name for it is "bacterial SSU rRNA". It matches the Rfam family "Bacterial small subunit ribosomal RNA", at positions 56 to 509 of the family's 1533-position model. Lineage: Bacteria; Pseudomonadati; Pseudomonadota; Gammaproteobacteria; Pseudomonadales; Pseudomonadaceae. The record is from RNAcentral.
UGCAGUCGAGCGGCAGCACGGGUACUUGUACCUGGUGGCGAGCGGCGGACGGGUGAGUAAUGCCUAGGAAUCUGCCUGGUAGUGGGGGAUAACGCUCGGAAACGGACGCUAAUACCGCAUACGCCCUACGGGAGAAAGCAGGGGACCUUCGGGCCUUGCGCUAUCAGAUGAGCCUAGGUCGGAUUAGCUAGUUGGUGAGGUAAUGGCUCACCAAGGCGACGAUCCGUAACUGGUCUGAGAGGAUGAUCAGUCACACUGGAACUGAGACACGGUCCAGACUCCUACGGGAGGCAGCAGUGGGGAAUAUUGGACAAUGGGCGAAAGCCUGAUCCAGCCAUGCCGCGUGUGUGAAGAAGGUCUUCGGAUUGUAAAGCACUUUAAGUUGGGAGGAAGGGCAGUUACCUAAUACGUGAUUGUUUUGACGUUACCGACAGAAUAAGCACCGGCUAACUCUGUGCC